RNAcentral lists this long non-coding RNA (284 nucleotides) under Elaeis guineensis (African oil palm). RNAcentral's name for it is "long non-coding RNA (EGUI_LNC071567)". Lineage: Eukaryota; Viridiplantae; Streptophyta; Magnoliopsida; Arecales; Arecaceae. The record is from RNAcentral.
GGGGAUGUUCAAGAAUAUCCUGACGAGAUCUCAUCUGAAGUCUGCCAAGUCAAUUCAUGGCAAUUUUUUUCAAGUUGCCAUCAUUGUCUUAACCCGAUCCCUGGGGAUGUUUGGGCAGAUCUCAAUGAUGUCUCAUCUAAAGUCAAUACCAAGUUGAUCCAUAGUAAUUUUUAUCAAGUUGCCAUCAUCAUCUUAAUCCGAUCACUAGGGGGAUGUUCAAGAAGAUCCUGAUGAGGUCUCAUCAUGGAGGUUCUAACUUGGGUUAGGAUAUCUCCUUGUGAUUC